RNAcentral lists this ribosomal RNA (326 nucleotides) under uncultured Bacteroidota bacterium. RNAcentral's name for it is "bacterial SSU rRNA". It matches the Rfam family "Bacterial small subunit ribosomal RNA", at positions 28 to 351 of the family's 1533-position model. Lineage: Bacteria; Pseudomonadati; Bacteroidota. The record is from RNAcentral.
GAUGAACGCUAGCGGCAGGCUUAAUACAUGCAAGUCGAACGGCAGCACGGAUAGCAAUAUCUGGUGGCGAGUGGCGCACGGGUGCGUAACGCGUAUGUAACCUACCCUCAACUGGGGAAUAGCCCCGAGAAAUCGGGAUUAAUACCCCAUAACAUCAUGAAGUGGCAUCAUUUUAUGAUCAAAGCUCCGGCGGUAGAGGAUGGGCAUGCGUGACAUUAGCUAGUUGGUAAGGUAACGGCUUACCAAGGCUACGAUGUCUAGGGGUUCUGAGAGGAUAUUCCCCCACACUGGUACUGAGACACGGACCAGACUCCUACGGGUGGCAG